GAUGAAGAACGCAGCAAAAUGCGAUAAGUAAUGCGAAUUGCAGAAUUUCCGUGAGUCAUCGAAUCUUUGAACGCACAUUGCGCCCGCCAGUAUUCUGGCGGGCAUGCCUGUUCGAGCGUCAUUACAACCCUCAGGCCCCCGGGCCUGGCGUUGGGGAUCGGCGGAGCCCCCCGUGGGCACACGCCGUCCCCCAAAUACAGUGGCGGUCCCGCCGCAGCUUCCAUCGCGUAGUAGCUAACACCUCGCGACUGGAGAGCGGCGCGGCCACGCCGUAAAACACCCAACUCUUCUGAAGUUGACCUCGAAUCAGGUAGGAAUACCCGCUGAACUUAAGCAUAUCAAUAAGCGGAGGA
RNAcentral lists this unclassified non-coding RNA (353 nucleotides) under soil metagenome. RNAcentral's name for it is "partial contains 5.8S ribosomal RNA, internal transcribed spacer 2, and large subunit ribosomal RNA". The stretch from base 1 to 121 matches the Rfam family "5.8S ribosomal RNA", at positions 35 to 154 of the family's 154-position model. The record is from RNAcentral.